UUCAUAAAUGAGAUUGAUUCUGUUGUUUUUUUUUCCCUCAAACUGUCUUUGCCAGAUUUUGGAACUGAACCCUUGCUCCCUGCCUCAUAGAUGAGCUGGACAAUUAUCCCGAAUGGUACCAGAAGCAGGAAAUUAUGUAUUGCCCUAUAUAUGGCAUUCCCUCCCGGAGAGCGCACCAUUUAUCAUGGCUUUUUAAUCUCCUCCGUGUGCAAUAGAAGAUAAAACAUCUCAACAAUAUUUCAGUGUUUGGAGAAGAUUAAGGCCCUGCAAACACUCCUGUUUGUUUCACCCAGUUCUUCUGCUGCAUCAAACUGGGUCAGAGUUUUGAGGUGGGUUUGGGUAGCUCUCUAGGAAUGUGGCUGUUUGUUU
Molecule: long non-coding RNA, 369 nt
Filed under: Mustela putorius furo (domestic ferret)
Lineage: Eukaryota; Metazoa; Chordata; Mammalia; Carnivora; Mustelidae
Description: lncRNA (ENSMPUG00000029961.1)
Source: RNAcentral